This 447-nucleotide ribosomal RNA is filed under the name uncultured bacterium. RNAcentral's name for it is "SSU rRNA". It matches the Rfam family "Bacterial small subunit ribosomal RNA", at positions 26 to 518 of the family's 1533-position model. The record is from RNAcentral.
AGAGCGAACGCUGGCGGCAGGCCUAACACAUGCAAGUCGAGCGCGUGUAGCAAUACACGAGCGGCAGACGGGAGAGUAACACGUGGGAACGCGCCCUUCGGUUCGGAAUAACUCAGGGAAACUUGAGCUAAUACCGGAUACGCCCUUACGGGGAAAGAUUUAUUGCCGAAGGAACGGCCCGCGUCCGAUUAGCUAGUUGGUGAGGUAACGGCUCACCAAGGCGACGAUCGGUAGCUGGUCUGAGAGGAUGACCAGCCUCACUGGGACUGAGACACGGCCCAGACUCCUACGGGAGGCAGCAGUGGGGAAUAUUGGACAAUGGGCGCAAGCCUGAUCCAGCCAUGCCGCGUGGAUGAUGAAGGCCUUAGGGUUGUAAAGUCCUUUUAACGAGGAAGAUAAUGACGGUACCCGUAGAAUAAGCCCGGCUAACUUCGUGCCAGCAGCCGC